GGAGUCGAUAUGGAGAGCAGCCCUCAUGAAAGAAACUCUGAAUCAUUAUCCCCGAAGCAAAACUACAGAACUGAUUGCGAGCACUGAAGGACAUGGUCUUGGCGGGUUGCGGAAUGACGGUGGGUCUGGUGUUUGGAGUUCCUGAGCAGAAAUGUUAAGGCCAUAUCAUCUUUGAGGUUUUUGUGGUUAAUAGCAUUGUAACGUUCUGUUAGA
This is a long non-coding RNA of Chanos chanos (milkfish), 213 nucleotides long. RefSeq lists it as uncharacterized. NCBI's taxonomy places the organism in Eukaryota, Metazoa, Chordata, Actinopteri, Gonorynchiformes, Chanidae. The transcript has 3 exons. The record is from RefSeq and is a predicted model, not a curated record.